GGUCAAGCUACAAAGGGCUCACGGUGGAUACCUUGGCACACAGAGGCGAUGAAGGACGUGGUUACCUGCGAUAAGUCUCGGGGAGCUGGAAACACGCUUUGAUCCGGGAAUUUCCGAAUGGGGCAACCCCUAGAACGGCCGCCUGAAUCCAUAGGGCGGUGCGAGCCAACCCAGCGAACUGAAACAUCUUAGUAGCUGGAGGAAAGGAAAGUAAAAACGACUCCCUCAGUAGCGGCGAGCGAACGGGGAAGAGCCUAAACCGAUGGUUUCGACCAUCGGGGUUGUGGGACAGCAACGUGGACCAACGAACCUAGAAGAAGCGUUUGAAUGGCGCGCCACAGAGGGUGAAAGCCCCGUAUUCGAAAGGAGAGUUGGCCUAGCUGUAUCCCGAGUAGCACGGAGCACGUGAAAUUCCGUGUGAAUCCGCGAGGACCACCUCGUAAGGCUAAGUACUCCUGUGUGACCGAUAGCGCAACAGUACCGCGAGGGAAAGGUGAAAAGAACCCCGGGAGGGGAGUGAAACAGAACAUGAAACCGUGAGCUUACAAGCAAUGGGAGUCCGACUAAUCGGAUGACCGUGUGCCUGUUGAAGAAUGAGCCGGCGACUUAUAGGCACUGGCAGGUUAAACCGGGAAUGGUGGAGCCAUAGCGAAAGCGAGUCUGAAUAGGGCGAUCGUCAGUGUUUAUAGACCCGAACCCGGGUGAUCUAACCAUGGCCAGGAUGAAGCUUGGGUGAUACCAAGUGGAGGUCCGAACCGACUGAUGUUGAAAAAUCAGCGGAUGAGCUGUGGUUAGGGGUAAAAUGCCAAACGG
RNAcentral lists this ribosomal RNA (813 nucleotides) under Synechococcus sp. SJ01. RNAcentral describes it as "bacterial LSU rRNA". It matches the Rfam family "Bacterial large subunit ribosomal RNA", at positions 1 to 836 of the family's 2925-position model. Lineage: Bacteria; Bacillati; Cyanobacteriota; Cyanophyceae; Synechococcales; Synechococcaceae. The record is from RNAcentral.